This is a non-coding RNA of Canis lupus familiaris (dog), 114 nucleotides long. The record is from Rfam. NCBI's taxonomy places the organism in Eukaryota, Metazoa, Chordata, Mammalia, Carnivora, Canidae.
AGCUUUGCGCAGUGGCAGUAUCAUAGCCAAUGAGGUUUAUCCGAGGCGCAAUUAUUGCUAAUUAAUAAAUAAUAAAAUGGGGACUCUUUUAGUGCUUAUAAAGGUUUACUAACC